CUCAUAAGCAGCUAUGUUCUGCAACGUUAUUAAAUCAUAUUUCGUCCCCUCGCUCCUUUUAGCAGCUGUGGGGUCUGUGAAUGGAAACUCCGAAGUGAAGGAGAGCCACUCUUCUUAUCCCUGCUGUGAAGCCCCAACAAUUGAGCUCACAAAACACGGUGAAACCACAUGGAGCACAAAGAACAAGCCGUUUGCCAUCUCCGACGGCACUGGCACGUCCACUAGGUGCAUUCCUCCGUGCAUGACGAUCGAAGACGGACGGAUGACGGUGGAUGAAUGUGUGAAUAUAACCGCCACCGUGGUGUCCAGCGAUGUAGGUCACAAACCUUCUGUUAUUGAACUUUGACUUUAUUUGUCUCUGUGUAUUAUUAGUGUUCCCAAACCAUGGGAAAAUGUAAAAAAUAAUUGAUGUAGCAGCAGUGAUUAGGAUUAGGCAUCGAGAACCGGU
This 448-nucleotide long non-coding RNA is filed under the name Sander lucioperca (pikeperch). RNAcentral describes it as "lncRNA (ENSSLUG00000015226.1)". Lineage: Eukaryota; Metazoa; Chordata; Actinopteri; Perciformes; Percidae. The record is from RNAcentral.